RNAcentral lists this ribosomal RNA (484 nucleotides) under uncultured bacterium. RNAcentral describes it as "partial 16S ribosomal RNA". It matches the Rfam family "Bacterial small subunit ribosomal RNA", at positions 30 to 507 of the family's 1533-position model. The record is from RNAcentral.
AUUGAACGCUGGCGGCAGGCCUAACACAUGCAAGUCGAGCGGAUGAAGGGAGCUUGCUCCUGGAUUCAGCGGCGGACGGGUGAGUAAUGCCUAGGAAUCUGCCUGGUAGUGGGGGAUAACGUCCGGAAACGGGCGCUAAUACCGCAUACGUCCUGAGGGAGAAAGUGGGGGAUCUUCGGACCUCACGCUAUCAGAUGAGCCUAGGUCGGAUUAGCUAGUUGGUGGGGUAAAGGCCUACCAAGGCGACGAUCCGUAACUGGUCUGAGAGGAUGAUCAGUCACACUGGAACUGAGACACGGUCCAGACUCCUACGGGAGGCAGCAGUAGGGAAUAUUGGGCAAUGGGCGAAAGCCUGACCCAGCCAUGCCGCGUGAGUGAAGAAGGUCUUCGGAUUGUAAAGCACUUUAAGUAGGGAGGAAGAGCAGUAAGUGAAUACCUGGCUGUUUUGACGGUACCAACAGAAUAAGCACCGGCUAACUUCGUG